This 187-nucleotide antisense RNA is filed under the name Fischerella thermalis JSC-11. RNAcentral describes it as "Fischerella sp. JSC-11 Antisense RNA which regulates isiA expression". It matches the Rfam family "Antisense RNA which regulates isiA expression". The record is from Rfam by way of RNAcentral. Lineage: Bacteria; Bacillati; Cyanobacteriota; Cyanophyceae; Nostocales; Hapalosiphonaceae.
GAUAACCAAAAAUGACUCUGGGGUCAAGGGUAGGAUUAGUAACAAGGCGUACACCACCACCUCCAGGUGCCCAGGUGUCAUACAACCCACCCCACAACAUCGCCUUACCGACAAGUAAGAAGGCGGCAACACCCAAAGCAAUCAGGUGAUAUCCCAAAAUGCUAGUGACUUUAUCUUUAUCGCUCCA